This is a long non-coding RNA of Epinephelus fuscoguttatus (brown-marbled grouper), 161 nucleotides long. RefSeq lists it as uncharacterized. The transcript is spliced from 3 exons. NCBI's taxonomy places the organism in Eukaryota, Metazoa, Chordata, Actinopteri, Perciformes, Serranidae. The record is from RefSeq and is a predicted model, not a curated record.
CAAAGAGUCCAGAGAUUGUGGCCAGGAUAGAAAGGAAUGCCCUAUAUGUUGUGGCUGCUUUCCAUCAGAUGAAAUUGUUCUGCAUGCAAGCCUGUGUGGGGAAAGUCUACAGGGCAUGUUGAACUACAGUACAGACAGCUGUGUGCUACGCGAGGGAAGCG